GAUGAACGCUGGCGGCGUGCCUAAUACAUGCAAGUCGAGCGAACGGACGAGAAGCUUGCUUCUCUGAUGUUAGCGGCGGACGGGUGAGUAACACGUGGAUAACCUACCUAUAAGACUGGGAUAACUUCGGGAAACCGGAGCUAAUACCGGAUAAUAUUUUGAACCGCAUGGUUCAAAAGUGAAAGACGGUCUUGCUGUCACUUAUAGAUGGAUCCGCGCUGCAUUAGCUAGUUGGUAAGGUAACGGCUUACCAAGGCAACGAUGCAUAGCCGACCUGAGAGGGUGAUCGGCCCCCCUGGAACUGAGACACGGUCCAGACUCCUACGGGAGGCAGCAGUAGCGAAUCUUCCGCAAUGGGCGAAAGCCUGACGGAGCAACGCCGCGUGAGUGAUGAAGGUCUUCGGAUCGUAAAACUCUGUUAUUAGGGAAGAACAUAUGUGUAAGUAACUGUGCACAUCUUGACGGUACCUAAUCAGAAAGCCACGGCUAACUACGUG
This 497-nucleotide ribosomal RNA is filed under the name uncultured bacterium. Its description in RNAcentral is "partial 16S ribosomal RNA". It matches the Rfam family "Bacterial small subunit ribosomal RNA", at positions 28 to 507 of the family's 1533-position model. The record is from RNAcentral.